CCUACGGGAGGCAGCAGUGAGGAAUAUUGGUCAAUGGGCGCGAGCCUGAACCAGCCAAGUAGCGUGAAGGAUGACUGCCCUAUGGGUUGUAAACUUCUUUUAUAAAGGAAUAAAGUUAUGCACGUGUGGCUUUUUGCAUGUACUUUAUGAAUAAGGAUCGGCUAACUCCGUGCCAGCAGCCGCGGUAAUACGGAGGAUGCGAGCGUUAUCCGGAUUUAUUGGGUUUAAAGGGAGCGUAGAUGGGUUGUUAAGUCAGUGGUGAAAGUUUGUGGCUCAACCGUAAAAUUGCAAUUGAGACUGGAAGCCUUGAGUACAGUUGAGGUAGGCGGAAUGCGUGGUGUAGCGGUGAAAUGCUUAGAUAUCACGAAGAACUCCGAUUGCGAAGGCAGCUUACUAAAC
RNAcentral lists this ribosomal RNA (399 nucleotides) under uncultured bacterium. RNAcentral's name for it is "partial 16S ribosomal RNA". It matches the Rfam family "Bacterial small subunit ribosomal RNA", at positions 338 to 734 of the family's 1533-position model. The record is from RNAcentral.